AGAGUUUGAUCAUGGCUCAGAAUCAACGCUGGCGGCGCGCCUAACACAUGCAAGUCGAACGAGAAAGCAGGAGCAAUCUUGUGAGUAAAGUGGCGUACGGGUGAGUAACACGUGGAUCAUCUACCCUCUUGUGGGGGAUAACUCUGGGAAACCGGAGCUAAUACCGCAUAAGUCCGAGAGGAGAAAGCAGCAAUGCGCAGGAGGAGGAGUCCGCGGCCGAUUAGCUAGUUGGUAGGGUAAAAGCCUACCAAGGCUACGAUCGGUAGCCGGCCUGAGAGGGCACACGGCCACACUGGCACUGAAACACGGGCCAGACUCCUACGGGAGGCAGCAGUGGGGAAUCUUGCACAAUGGGGGCAACCCUGAUGCAGCGACGCCGCGUGAGCGAUGAAGCCCUUCGGGGUGUAAAGCUCUUUCGGCAGGGAAGAUUAUGACGGUACCUGCAGAAGCAGCUGCGGCUAACUACGUGCCAGCAGCCGCGGUAAUACGUAGGCAGCGAGCGUUGUUCGGAGUUACUGGGCGUAAAGGGUGUGUAGGCGGUCUUCUAAGUCUGGUGUGAAAUCUCCCGGCUCAACUGGGAGGGUGCGCCGGAAACUGGGAGGCUAGAGUGCGGGAUGGGAGAGUGGAAUUCCUGGUGUAGCGGUGAAAUGCGUAGAUAUCAGGAGGAACACCUGUGGUGUAGACGGCUCUCUGGACCGCAACUGACGCUGAGACACGAAAGCGUGGGUAGCAAACAGGAUUAGAUACCCUAGUAGUCC
RNAcentral lists this ribosomal RNA (758 nucleotides) under uncultured bacterium. RNAcentral describes it as "bacterial SSU rRNA". It matches the Rfam family "Bacterial small subunit ribosomal RNA", at positions 8 to 796 of the family's 1533-position model. The record is from RNAcentral.